UAACUCUAGGCACCCCCUGCAGGACCUGAAGAAGUACUUUGACAGCUGCAACGGCGAUUUGGACCCCGAGAUUGUGAAGUCCUUCAUGUACCAGCUGUUGAAGGGUCUCGGAUUCUGUCACAGCCGGAACGUUCUCCACCGGGACCUCAAACCGCAGAACCUCCUCAUCAACCGGAACGGGGAGCUGAAGCUGGCGGACUUCGGACUGGCGCGAGCCUUCGGCAUCCCGGUGCGCUGCUAUUCGGCGGAGGUGAGCACGGAG
Pseudonaja textilis is the source of this 262-nucleotide non-coding RNA. The record is from RefSeq and is a predicted model, not a curated record. NCBI's taxonomy places the organism in Eukaryota, Metazoa, Chordata, Lepidosauria, Squamata, Elapidae.